GGGCGCAAGCCUGAUCCAGCAAUGCCGCGUGAGUGAAGAAGGCCUUCGGGUUGUAAAGCUCUUUCAGUUGAGAAGAAAAAAUUCUGGCUAAUACCCAGAAUUCAUGACGGU
This 111-nucleotide ribosomal RNA is filed under the name uncultured bacterium. RNAcentral describes it as "partial 16S ribosomal RNA". It matches the Rfam family "Bacterial small subunit ribosomal RNA", at positions 373 to 476 of the family's 1533-position model. The record is from RNAcentral.